RNAcentral lists this ribosomal RNA (545 nucleotides) under fungal endophyte. RNAcentral describes it as "eukaryotic LSU rRNA". The stretch from base 176 to 329 matches the Rfam family "5.8S ribosomal RNA". Lineage: Eukaryota; Fungi. The record is from RNAcentral.
UUACUGAGUUUACGCUCUAUAACCCUUUGUGAACAUACCUAUAACUGUUGCUUCGGCGGGUAGGGUCUCCGUGACCCUCCCGGCCUCCCGCCCCCGGGCGGGUCGGCGCCCGCCGGAGGAUAACCAAACUCUGAUUUAACGACGUUUCUUCUGAGUGGUACAAGCAAAUAAUCAAAACUUUUAACAACGGAUCUCUUGGUUCUGGCAUCGAUGAAGAACGCAGCGAAAUGCGAUAAGUAAUGUGAAUUGCAGAAUUCAGUGAAUCAUCGAAUCUUUGAACGCACAUUGCGCCCGCCAGCAUUCUGGCGGGCAUGCCUGUUCGAGCGUCAUUUCAACCCUCAAGCUCUGCUUGGUGUUGGGGCCCUACAGCUGAUGUAGGCCCUCAAAGGUAGUGGCGGACCCUCCCGGAGCCUCCUUUGCGUAGUAACUUUACGUCUCGCACUGGGAUCCGGAGGGACUCUUGCCGUAAAACCCCCAAUUUUCCAAAGGUUGACCUCGGAUCAGGUAGGAAUACCCGCUGAACUUAAGCAUAUCAAUAAGGCGGA